RNAcentral lists this ribosomal RNA (317 nucleotides) under uncultured Paracercomonas. RNAcentral's name for it is "SSU rRNA". The stretch from base 77 to 317 matches the Rfam family "Eukaryotic small subunit ribosomal RNA", at positions 712 to 955 of the family's 1831-position model. The record is from RNAcentral. Lineage: Eukaryota; Cercozoa; Cercomonadida; Cercomonadidae.
GAUUUCUGGUUUGGUGCGCCUGAUCCACGGUCGCAAGACCGCGAGUAUCGGUGUGCGCCUGCCAUCUUUCUGGUUAACCAGACGCACUUAACUGUGCGGCUGGCGAUCCAGAUCUUUUACUUUGAAAAAAUUAGAGUGUUUAAAGCAGGCUUUCGCUAUGAAUAUAUUAGCAUGGAAUAAUAAUUUAGGACUUUGCUUCUAUUUUAUUGGUUCUAGAGGUAAAGUAAUGAUUGAUAGGGAUAGUUGGGGGUGCUAGUAUUCAUCGGCCAGAGGUGAAAUUCUUGGAUUCGAUGAAGACUAACUAAUGCGAAAGCAUU